UGAACGCUGGCGGCGUGCCUACUACAUGCACGUCGAGCGACCAGACAAGGAGCUUGCUCCUCUGACGUUAGCGGCGGACGGGUGAGUAACACGUGGAUAACCUACCUAUAAGACUGGGAUAACUUCGGGAAACCGGAGCUAAUACCGGAUAAUAUAUUGAACCGCAUGGUUCAAUAGUGAAAGACGGUUUUGCUGUCACUUAUAGAUGGAUCCGCGCCGCAUUAGCUAGUUGGUAAGGUAACGGCUUACCAAGGCAACGAUGCGUAGCCGACCUGAGAGGGUGAUCGGCCACACUGGAACUGAGACACGGUCCAGACUCCUACGGGAGGCAGCAGUAGGGAAUCUUCCGCAAUGGGCGAAAGCCUGACGGAGCAACGCCGCGUGAGUGAUGAAGGUCUUCGGAUCGUAAAACUCUGUUAUUAGGGAAGAACAAAUGUGUAAGUAACUAUGCACGUCUUGACGGUACCUAAUCAGAAAGCCACGGCUAACUACGUG
Molecule: ribosomal RNA, 495 nt
Filed under: uncultured bacterium
Lineage: Bacteria
Description: partial 16S ribosomal RNA
Rfam family: Bacterial small subunit ribosomal RNA
Source: RNAcentral